CACCAGAGACCUGGUCACGUGAUCUGGAGACUUGGAGACGUGAUCAGUUUGCCACUCACUUCCUAUGAGGCUCUCUACCAUGGAUACAACAUGUAAAAGAACCCUAAGUUACCGACAUGUUACAUACAGUGCCUCUCGCUGCACAACGCUGAAUUAAAAGGCGUGGAAAAGUGACAUGUUGACGGCACAAUUAUUGCAUGCCAUUUUUUUUAUUAUUCGGUGUAGUUUUUAUUAAUUUCUGUGACGUGACAUAUUUAGAAAACCUGUAAGAAAUUUCGAGUUCUCGGUUUCUUGUGAAAUAUGAUAGGUGGAAGCAUAAUUUCUACUCGUUUGAUCAGCUGUUCGACCACGCGUUUUCUCGCGUAAAUAGGCCUCUUUUCAUAGCCCAUUUUACGGUUGUGUUAACUGUUGAAGCAAAAGGGGAAAACUCGGAACUUUUUACAAGUGUGCUGAAGCCAUUUCGUGUCUUGUUUUGGAGAAAUAUAAUUUCAUUUUGAAAUGGCACGCAAGAAUUCUUAGCGUGGCACUUCUCGCCUAUGAUGUCACAAUUCCAAUAUGGUCGCAGUGACCAUCCAGAGGCCUUAAGGCAAGAUCGAGGAUAGAUCCGGCCAGUUAAAGCUUAUCCAGAAGGAAGUCACUUUGCAUCUUACUAGGAGUAUGUCGACAAAACUAUUAAGCGGCAGAAAGAUUAUAUCGUACUCGAUUUCCUAAAAGACG
Harpegnathos saltator (Jerdon's jumping ant) is the source of this 717-nucleotide long non-coding RNA. RefSeq lists it as uncharacterized. The record is from RefSeq and is a predicted model, not a curated record. The transcript has 3 exons. NCBI's taxonomy places the organism in Eukaryota, Metazoa, Arthropoda, Insecta, Hymenoptera, Formicidae.